This 133-nucleotide ribosomal RNA is filed under the name uncultured bacterium. RNAcentral's name for it is "partial 16S ribosomal RNA". The record is from RNAcentral.
CACGUAGUUGGCCGGGCCUUCUUCUGGAGGUACCGUCAUUUUCGUCCCUCCUGAAAGCGGUUUACAACCCGAAGGCCUUCAUCCCGCACGCGGUGUCGCUGCAUCAGGCUUUCGCCCAUUGUGCAAUAUUCCC